This 293-nucleotide unclassified non-coding RNA is filed under the name Hevea brasiliensis (rubber tree). The record is from RNAcentral. Lineage: Eukaryota; Viridiplantae; Streptophyta; Magnoliopsida; Malpighiales; Euphorbiaceae.
ACCUUCAUAUGAUAAAGGUACAGAAGCAGUUCCUGGUGAUUCAUUGCUUGAUCCACCAUCACCAACAUUGGUCACUCAUAUUGCCAUUCGAAAAGGCAUUAGAUCAUCUCGUGAUCCUCAUCCAAUUUUUAAGUUUUUGAGUUAUCACCGUUUGUCUCCCUCUUACUAUGCUUUUAUCUCCAAUAUGUCUAAUGUACCUAUCCUAAAGACUGUUAGAGAAGCAUUGGACCAUCUAGGGUGGUGUGCUACAAUGGUUGAGGCGAUGACUACUCUCUAUAAUAAUGGAACUUGGG